RNAcentral lists this long non-coding RNA (1188 nucleotides) under Jatropha curcas. Its description in RNAcentral is "long non-coding RNA (JCUR_LNC001456)". Lineage: Eukaryota; Viridiplantae; Streptophyta; Magnoliopsida; Malpighiales; Euphorbiaceae. The record is from RNAcentral.
AAAAGACGGGAAGGAUAAAUGAGUAAUUGAAUCUUACCUGGAACGGAAAUGAGAUGGCUUCCAUAAAGGUGGAAAAAACCCUAGAACUGCAUAAUCUAAUGAAAGCCAUUGUCGACGCUAAUAAGGAACCCAUAGUCGAUAAACUAGCAAGAAUGACGAGUUUGCACCAUUAGGUAAGCUCGCAAUCACACAUUCUAGCACUAUAAUCAAAUCUGUGAUUCAUUUUAUUAUUUGAUAUGCAAUGAAUUAAUGUAUCUUGUCAAACAACCUUGUUGAUGAAUGGAAUAAUGAGCAUGUUGAUUGCAAAGAAAUUGAAAUGAUCAAAGAUAUAUCAUACAUAUUUAGGUGAGUGUGCUUAUUGAAGCUAAUUGAUUGAAUGCUGGAGAAGGAAGUAAAACAAUUUUUGUUGUCCAGGUCUGUCAAUGGAGAUUGUGAAAUAACAAAGUUGGAGAUUAAGCAUCUAAAAUAAAGAUGUAGAAAUUUAUUUUUAGAAGAAGAAGAAGAUAGGAUAUCAAAUUGCAGAAUAAAAUUUAAAUUAUUUAACAAAUUGAAGGGAAAACAUUGAGGAUAUAAAUUUCAUUAUAGAGAGAAUUAACAUAACAUAAUUUAUUUGAGAAUCUCUAGGAUGAUAAUGCUUAUAUUCUUUUUUUUUUUCCUAUUAUUAAACGUUGAAUCAUGACUUAGUUGAAGUGUAGAGCUACUGGCAUAAAUUUGUAGUAAACAUGUCUUGAAAAAAAUGUUUUCGCUUACUUAUAUGUUGAAUUUUACAAAUUGUGUAUGUGUUUGCUUAUUGUAGCUAUAUGUUAGAAACAAAUUUGGAGCAUCAGAGGUGGAGAAUGUUCUUUAGAGCUUAUAUUGGUUACCUAUAUUUGGACCAUUUGGAGUAAUAUAGAUCAACAACACUAUGCUUGAUAUUUUUCUUCUAUCGACCAGAGGUGGAGAAUGUUCUUUCAUAUGGAACAGCCAAGAAUUGCCAUUAAAUACCUCAGAGAAUCGGUUAGGCAACAAUAUCUGCCAAGAUGCACAUCAAACGUCAAGUAGUCCUGUUCCAUUAUUGAUUGAAUGCUCCGGCAAAGUAGUAGAAUGUUGAGAUAUCUUUUUCUACAGACAAUAUAGUAGUUUACUGGGAAAUGAUCUGAUGAUUGAACUGAAUUUCGCUUGUCAUAUUUAAAUGUAUUUUCCUUUCUU